RNAcentral lists this ribosomal RNA (468 nucleotides) under Alteromonas sp. 'Disko Bay 221'. Its description in RNAcentral is "bacterial SSU rRNA". It matches the Rfam family "Bacterial small subunit ribosomal RNA", at positions 20 to 486 of the family's 1533-position model. The record is from RNAcentral. Lineage: Bacteria; Pseudomonadati; Pseudomonadota; Gammaproteobacteria; Alteromonadales; Alteromonadaceae.
UGGCUCAGAUUGAACGCUGGCGGCAGGCCUAACACAUGCAAGUCGAACGGAAACAUGUCUAGCUUGCUAGAUGAUGUCGAGUGGCGGACGGGUGAGUAAUGCUUGGGAACUUGCCUUUGCGAGGGGGAUAACAGUUGGAAACGACUGCUAAUACCGCAUAAUGUCUUCGGACCAAACGGGGCUUAGGCUCCGGCGCAAAGAGAGGCCCAAGUGAGAUUAGCUAGUUGGUGAGGUAAAGGCUCACCAAGGCAACGAUCUCUAGCUGUUCUGAGAGGAAGAUCAGCCACACUGGGACUGAGACACGGCCCAGACUCCUACGGGAGGCAGCAGUGGGGAAUAUUGCACAAUGGGGGAAACCCUGAUGCAGCCAUGCCGCGUGUGUGAAGAAGGCCUUCGGGUUGUAAAGCACUUUCAGUUGUGAGGAAAAGUUAGUAGUUAAUACCUGCUAGCCGUGACGUAACAACAGAA